UCUAAUAUGGCAGAUUAGUGCAAUGGAUUUAAACCCCAUAUAUAAAGUUGAACUUUUUUUAGAA
Molecule: transfer RNA, 64 nt
Filed under: Tenebrionoidea sp. 7 KM-2017
Lineage: Eukaryota; Metazoa; Arthropoda; Insecta; Coleoptera
Description: tRNA-Leu
Rfam family: tRNA
About the family: Transfer RNA (tRNA) molecules are approximately 80 nucleotides in length. Their secondary structure includes four short double-helical elements and three loops (D, anti-codon, and T loops). Further hydrogen bonds mediate the characteristic L-shaped molecular structure. tRNAs have two regions of fundamental functional importance: the anti-codon, which is responsible for specific mRNA codon recognition, and the 3' end, to which the tRNAs corresponding amino acid is attached (by aminoacyl-tRNA synthetases). tRNAs cope with the degeneracy of the genetic code in two manners: having more than one tRNA (with a specific anti-codon) for a particular amino acid; and 'wobble' base-pairing, i.e. permitting non-standard base-pairing at the 3rd anti-codon position.
Source: RNAcentral